GUUGAUAGCUGGACACUUGUUGCUUUCCUGCAUAAAAGAAAAGAAAAACAAAAUAAAACGAUUGUUUCCAGAUGUUGUGAUUAUUUUGCUAAUUAC
Pseudonaja textilis is the source of this 96-nucleotide non-coding RNA. The record is from RefSeq and is a predicted model, not a curated record. NCBI's taxonomy places the organism in Eukaryota, Metazoa, Chordata, Lepidosauria, Squamata, Elapidae.